This 1888-nucleotide long non-coding RNA is filed under the name Brassica napus (rape). RNAcentral describes it as "long non-coding RNA (BNAP_LNC008876)". Lineage: Eukaryota; Viridiplantae; Streptophyta; Magnoliopsida; Brassicales; Brassicaceae. The record is from RNAcentral.
CGUAGUUUAUAUUCUGAUCGUCUUUAACACUAACACCAACUACAAACAUAAGGCUGCAUGUUUAACUUCCUAAGUUAAAAAGAAACUAUAAAAGACUUCAUGAUUGCAAGAGCAAAUAGCUACAAAAACCUCUCUCUACCUCUCGCAUCUCCCUAACCCUCUCCUAAACCUAAACGCGUCUCCUCCGCCGCCGUGCGCCUCGCCGGUAGGCGGAGCCUCUCUCUCCCUUAUCUCCUUUUCCUGUUUGCUCCUCUGUUUCUCCGGUUCUGUAAGCCGAUAUGUCUAAGUUCUGGUCCUCUAUGGCAAAAUCGUUGUUCAGAUCCGCCGGUGGUGGUCCUUGAAGUCGGUGGAGGCUAUAGAUCUGGAAGGAGGGUGAGGUUUAUAGGCCGGGUGUUUGCAGUGGAGUCGGCGUUUAGGAGCUUGUCUGCUUAAACCGGUGAUUUUCUCUUCUUUCCGGUCAGCUUGUCAGUGGCGAAGAUGCGUGGAUCAGCUUCAGAGGUGGAUCUUCCAGAUCUUGCGGUUAUGGGCUUCAUUGUGGAUGGAUCUGUCCUCUCUGCCCUCGUCUUCUCCGGCUUCCUCCGUGGAGUUUUCCGGUGACUCUGCGGCUUAUGACAUCUUCUCCGUCGUCUCUUGCGGCUCCUUGACCAGUGGGGUUCAGAGCGUCUGGAGGUUGAAGCAACAUCCUUCGGUUCUCGACGGGUGCGCAUGUCUGGUGGGAUGGUGGGGUAGUCUGGUCAGCGUCUCACUCUCUCCCGGUUGGCGGCGCGUGUGGAGUGGAUUCUGCGCAGCUUUGGCUCCGAUCCUCUCGGGUCGGUAGGGGUCUAUCUUCUUUGCUUUUUUUGAUGUUCUGUCUGAAGCCGGUGAGGUGGCUUUUGCCAGGUUCCGCUUUCUUGCUUGAUUACAAGGAUGUGACCAUCAAGGCUCCGGUGGAGUCGUGCUGUAUCUACGGUGAAAGGCCGUUUACGAGCUAUUGCUUUAGUGGCCGUGACGGUUUAGUAAACGUUGGGUUCAGGAUCAGUUUGCAAUUGAUUUUGGGCUGUGUCUUGUAAUCUUUUUUUAUCACGAAUAAAUGCUCGGUUUGUUGGAGCUAGUGCUUGACCAGUGGGGGUGGCUGGUUUCCGGAUGGUGGAUGCGAAUGCCGUCUUCUGCGAGCUGUUCUUGGUCGGGCCAGAUCAUUAAGAACAGAUCAUCGGGGAGGCCAAAAUUACUGGAUUCUGUGUCUCGGUUUAACUGUAGCCUUUCUUUUUGCGGUAAGCAGCUGUGCGGUUUAGUUGAGGCCUCUGUUUCCGGCUUAUGUCAUGUUGUGUCGGUCUUGCUUACACUAGAUCGAGUCAUUGUUUAGUUUUAUUUUCUUUCAUCCACUUCUUGUUGUCUUUGUAUUUCUGUCAAAAAUCUGAAAAUUGGUGAUAAUAUUUUUACAUUUUUACCAAAAAAAAGAACAAAUAGCUAAAUUCCCAAUAUUUUUUUAAUAUACAAUAUAAAUUAAUAGAUUUUUCUGCAAAAUUAGGUCAUAUUUAAAAAUCUUAAUCAUAAAUUAAACUGUAACUCAACGUGUAUUGAUCAUUUUACGACCCCUAUGUAAGCGAAAAUAGAAUAAAUGUCUUCUCCUGGUCAGCAUGUAAAGUAAAUCUAGGCAGAAAUCAACUAUUUCAAGAACUGUUAAAAUACUAAGAAAUUGAUGUUUUGCUUUGUUCAGCAAGGGAAAUAGAAGGAAGUGAAUAAAAGGUUUAAUAAGUAGUGGUAGAAAAUUAGGUACUUCGAGCCGAAGCACCUAAAGAAUGGUUGAGCCAUGUGUUCCAAGUCGUUUGCCAUGACGUGCACCAUGUUGACACGUCGUAUACAAGUAUGACAUGUUCCAUUUUUGCGUGUACGUAGAUACUCUCUCCCU